CAAAAAGCAGGGCUCUGUUUUUGUACGUAACAGAGUUCACGUAAAUGUCAGGAACAUCGAAUUGGUCAUCGUGUUUGGGUGAACCUACGUUUUUUUUUUUAAUAUCUGAUGGGUUCAGUUCAUGAUGGUACAUUU
This 135-nucleotide small nucleolar RNA is filed under the name Brassica oleracea var. oleracea. RNAcentral describes it as "Small nucleolar RNA snoR74". It matches the Rfam family "Small nucleolar RNA snoR74". Lineage: Eukaryota; Viridiplantae; Streptophyta; Magnoliopsida; Brassicales; Brassicaceae. The record is from Rfam by way of RNAcentral.